UACGUAGGGGCUAGCGUUGUCCGGAAUCAUUGGGCGUAAGGAGCGUGUAGGCGGUCCGGUAAGUCCGCUGUGAAAGUCGGGGGCUCAACCCUCGAAUGCCGGUGGAUACUGUCGGGCUAGAGUACGGAAGAGGCGAGUGGAAUUCCUGGUGUAGCGGUGAAAUGCGCAGGAUAUCAGGAGGAACACCUAUUGCGAAGGCAGCUCGCUGGGACGUAACUGACGCUGAGACGCGAAAGCGUGGGGAGCAAACAGG
This 253-nucleotide ribosomal RNA is filed under the name uncultured bacterium. RNAcentral's name for it is "partial 16S ribosomal RNA". It matches the Rfam family "Bacterial small subunit ribosomal RNA", at positions 524 to 776 of the family's 1533-position model. The record is from RNAcentral.